Molecule: long non-coding RNA, 576 nt
Filed under: Phoenix dactylifera (date palm)
Lineage: Eukaryota; Viridiplantae; Streptophyta; Magnoliopsida; Arecales; Arecaceae
Description: long non-coding RNA (PDAC_LNC021391)
Source: RNAcentral
AAACAUUCAUAUAGCAUAUUUCUUAACUGGGUGACUCAAUCAUAAGAUAUGACAACAAUUGAAUGUUGAGUCACUUUACUCAAGAGAUUGCCUAAAUAUAAGCAAACACAUGUCACUUGAACUUAAGAGAUAGUUUCAUUAACCAAGAAGGUUCAAGGACAAGCGUGUGAAGCAAUAGAAAGAUUUAUCAAGGUCAAAUCAAUUUUUUAUUUUCAGAAUCAAUUUAGCUUAGAUUCUAUUUGCUUAAGAUAAUUAUCAAUAAGACAUGUUAGCUAAGUUUUAAUCAAUUUAUCUUAAACAGUUGUUUCUAUCAACAUUCAUAUUAUGAAUCAUUAGAGUUAGAUUGAAGUCUUGCACAAGGGCACAUAAUGAGCAUACAAUCUGGUCUACUAGUUGUAUAAUAAAAUAAUUAUUCUAUCAUGCUUCAAUACAGCUUUAAAAUAAUAGAUCUACUUUGCUCAUCCUUUUCAAAUUCUACAAGAUGGGGUCAUAGACAUACCUUCUUCAUACCAAUCUUCUAUAAGAGUUUUCUUGUGAACUAACUUUGGUCAAUGAAGAUUCCCUUUCUUGUUUGUC